AUUGAACGCUGGCGGAAUGCUUUACACAUGCAAGUCGAGCGGCAGCGCGGGGGCAACCCUGGCGGCGAGCGGCGAACGGGUGAGUAAUGUAUCGGAACGUACCCUGUCGUGGGGGAUAACACAGCGAAAGCUGUGCUAAUACCGCAUACGACCUGAGGGUGAAAGCGGGGGAUCGCAAGACCUCGCGCGAUAGGAGCGGCCGAUAUCGGAUUAGCUUGUUGGUGAGGUAAAGGCUCACCAAGGCGACGAUCCGUAGCUGGUCUGAGAGGACGACCAGCCACACUGGAACUGAGACGCGGUCCAGACUCCUACGGGAGGCAGCAGUGGGGAAUUUUGGGACAAUGGGGGCAACCCUGAUCCAGCCAUUCCGCGUGAGUGAAGAAGGCCUCGGGUUGGUUAAAGGUACGUCUUUUCUAGCAGGAACGGAAACGGUAGGCUACGUAAUACUAGCUACUAAUAGACGGUACC
This 468-nucleotide ribosomal RNA is filed under the name uncultured bacterium. Its description in RNAcentral is "bacterial SSU rRNA". It matches the Rfam family "Bacterial small subunit ribosomal RNA", at positions 30 to 479 of the family's 1533-position model. The record is from RNAcentral.